UUUCGCUGUAAAAUUUCCCGUAAUUCACGAUAGCGAUACACAAGUCUAAGAGCCAUUUUGAAAAGGGAUAUAACUUUCAUCUACCGAAAACAAGUUUCACAUUGUCGUCCUAUGCUUCUUAUCCAAAAUUUAUAAACGAAAACCGAGUUGCUGUGGACGCUCGUAAGUUAGUCACUUGCUAGUCGUCAGCUACGCCAACCCCCUGGUUGGACUAAAGUUACGCCCGAGCUGCGGACUAAAAUUCGCCUAGUCGGGAGCAGUGCAACGGUCGUAAAUUUAGUCGGGUACUAUACCCCUGCUACGUCCCGACUAAGGCCUUGCGCCCGAGCAAUGCAACCGGGUCCAGACUUCACCCCCAUAGCUACAGCAAGCAGCAGACUCAGCACUCAAGCCGACGUCGCGUGACGUAGCAAGAGCGUGACGUCAGGCGCUGCUACAGUCAGCGGGAGAAAGAAAUGACGUUUCCCCGCGAAUCGGAUAAAAAUAGCCUGAAAAAAAACGUCAUGCGUCGUCUGCUGCAAACACUGAGAGAAAGGCAGACCUAGAACAAAGUAUGACACGCGACACACCGACCGCCAUUGAGUUCUAGAAGCUUUAACAUUUCAUACCUGCGGCUGUCUUUUCUGUCUUUACCAAUCUCCGUUUCUAUCAGCUCCUUUGCUUCAAAGUUGAUAUUGCAGUGAGACGCAUCAUACACUGAACCAUGCGAGUCAAGUGUAGCAAGCAACUGAUUGUCUUGCCUGUCACUACAGUGGUCAUGACUGUCUUCAUGUACUUCAUCUUUCUAUUUAAUUCUUUCCAUGAUUUGAAAGUUCCAAAGAUGGAGCCAACGACUCGCAGGACCAAGCCUUUAGCACAGGAGGCCACGAUGGUUGAGAUCUUCCCUGACUGGACUACUGACGACCCACACGACGCGGUUCCGGUCAAGCGUGUCUACCUGUACUCAGCCACCCUCACCAUCCACCACACGCCACCCAAUGGCAGCCACAUCCGCCUCACAGCCUUCCAGGAGAAGAGGGUGGGUCAGCUGACGUGCUGCCUCCGUCGCCAUGGCAGCGCCACUGUUACGGCACCAGCCCCCAUCAUUCACUCUCUGGACGACCCCGACAACGUCAACGACACGAAGAAGGUGUUCGCGGUGGUGUAUCAGUGUCACGUGCCUUUUUCACCUCUAGAGUUGACCGGGGCAUGCGUCACUGUGACCCCUGACCCUGCCUGUCCAGUGGAGGACAACUACUACAUACCAGUGUAUACCCCGGAGGUUGUGAAAGGAGGACUAGCCAUCUGCGGCAAAGUAGCCUUCGGUAGUUUGCUGGAUCCUCUGAAGCUAGUGGAAUGGUUUGAAAUGCAGAGGCUGCUUGGUGUGGACAAAAUCCAAAUACUGGACUUUGGAAAUCCCGAGAAUGUGAGCAGGGUGUUCGAAUAUUAUCAGAAUACCGGCUUGCUGUCUUUUUUCCCGUAUAAACUUCCAGGUCGUCCAUGGGGUCGAGGUUUUACUGAUGAAACAAGAGUUCUUGACCAACUGCCCCAGGAUGAAAAUUUCCCUUUUCUCGAAUGCCGUCUUCGAUUGGCUGGCUAUGAUUAUGUCAUGAGCAUCGACAUGGAUGAAAUCAUUUUACCAAGGAAGAUGAAACUGUUGAAACCCUUCUUUCAGGACAUAUUUAGCAGAGAUCCACAGUUAGCGGGGGCGUACUUCCAAGUGCAGUUCUUUGUGGAGGAGUUUGGACCGGUGGACAAGGAUGCUCCACUGCACGUGCUCCGUUACCUCAAGAGCACGCCGGCACUCUGGGAGUGCCAGAAGUACACGUACAUACCCGCCAGAACCAACCAUGUUUCGACACAUGAGUUUGAGCCGUACCCUGGGUAUUCACAGUCAGAAGUUGAUUCAGAAGAAGCAGUAAUCCAUCACUAUAGGAAGUGUUCACACAAAUGGCAUCAUUGCCCUCCUCCUGAUCACAUCACAGACAGGUCCAUCACGAGGUUCCAAACGGACCUUGUUCCUCGGGUGAAGGACGUUCUCAGCAAACUAAGACUCUAAAACAGAGAUAUGACUCCUUCUACUCAGUUGUAGAGUGUGUCGCUCGCUGUUAUUCGGCCUCCACUGACGCAGCAGACAGGUGUCGCGUCUUCUCAUGGCGUCCACAGGCAAGCUCACGGCUUGUACCCUGGUGCUCCUGGCAACAGUUGGUUUGACGAAAGGGUUAUGCACCAAAGAGGAGCUGGACACACUAGUGGAUUGUUUUCGGUAUUAUAUUCCUGGUUUGGUGUCAGCACUUGGUAAAUUCUGGAUUUGUGAUCGGUCUCUCAUCAAUGCCAACUUGUGCAGUUACUACGCAUCCAUAGUCGAGUGCACCAACAACGCCAAUGUCUCCAGCAUCACCUGCAGACCUUUGGGAUUGACCAGAUUGAUGCUCUUCGGGUUAUUCCGUGCAAGAUAUACGACUUUCAGGUGACUUGUAGUGCUGCUCCGAAAAUUGACACAGGUGGCUGAACAAACAUCACUGCAGGAGAUCUUUCCAUUAUGGCAGCAGGUUUGUUUUUUUUUUUUUUUUUUGAGAAUGAGCCUCCAGGACAAUACCAUACAACAACCUUCAGACUGCCUUUUCAGACUGUGUUUUUACGUUACAAUAUGCCCUUCUUGUAUUGUGUUUUCAUAAGUUUGUACAGUAGUCGUUGAUCAAGCAUUAUCAUAAGCUUUUAUUUCUACUUCUGUUACAUAACAUUAAACUGUAACAUUUGUAUUAAGCUUUGCGUUAACUUUCUAACAUUUUUUAUUGGUUUUAUUGUCGUUGUUGUUGUUGCUGUUGUUGUUCGGUUUUUUUGUUUUUUUUUUUUGUUUUGCUUUGUUUUGCUCUUUGCUUUGCACUCGGAAGAAUGUUGACUGAUCACGCAACAUGCUAAACACGUUUUCUGCCUUCAGCGUACUAAUCUUAGUUUUUAUUAUUUUUCGAAUAAUGAUCUGCUCUAUUAUUUACAUUAAACAUGUUUGCUGGACAUUAUUCAUUUGACUGAACGUACAAUGUUCUGCGUUUUUUACCGUUUAAAAGAAACUUCACUAGUGUUCAGCAACGGAAAUACAGUUAACAAUAUGAUCAGGGGAGACAAAUCAGUACAGAUUUGAGUAUCGCGUUUGUCUCCCAUACAUUGCUCUACUUCAAGAUAUAAACUGCAUUAAAUAAAAUUUACCGAAAAGUGAACUGGAAACAGGAGAAAUCCAUAGAAACAAAUUCAUUACUAUAAUAAAAAAAAUUGAGGAAGGCAUGAAAUUUCCUGUUACACUCAUUAAAUAAUCGACAAGCGGCAUAGAAGUGUUUGUUUCAUUACUGUUCCUAAUGAGAUUAUCACUUCGAUAAUAUUUGUUGCCUAAUAAAACAUAAGGCCUAUGAAAGGGAGACAGAAAGAUAUGUAGACAGGUAAUGAAGCAGGCACAUAUGAUAGCGUGGUUUUUCACUUUCGCGCGCGCACACACACACAUCUUUCAUUCAUUUUUUUUUUUUUUUUUAUUUUUUUCUUAUUCAUUUUUCUCGAUUUCUGUUCCUUCCUCAUUUACAAUUCAUUUUAUUUUUCCCUUUAUUGUUCACCUUUAAUUUCCCUCCUUUGCUUUCUCGUGUAUUUUUUGUGCGCUUGUGUUACUUUCUGAUUUAAAACCCCAUGUCUGAUGAAUAUUUAGAUUUAAACAUUUAUUUCAUUAUGUUUUUGUUGUUUUUUUUUUUAUUUUAUCAUCACGAUUUGAAUUAGUUCGGAUAUGCACUAAUCACAAUUUGACUUUUUUUUUUUGUCUUGCACUUUUCUUCACUUCUUUUAUAGUUAUUGUUUAAAUACAUACUGCAAAAAAUAUUGCUAUAUUUUUGGUAUCUUUUCUUGUUAAGUGUCGCUGUAAUAUCUCAAUGAUCAUUGAGUCCUGUAAAUAUACUAACAAAUCAAGGAUCGUAAAGAGUAUAUCUCAUAGAAGGUCGGUAUGUAGGAAUUUACUAAACUUCAAAUCAUUUCUUCGAGAAACAAAUGCGAUGUAGCCUUAGAUAUUUUAUGACGGCGCUUUUGCCUCUAGAUGAUGUUACAAAGGGACAGGUGUGCUCUCGAAUUUUCAUUCUUACCUGUUUUACAUUAGCAGUGAUAUAAAAGUAAAAUGCAAAGUUCUGUGCGCGUGUACUGUACAAAUCACACAUUAUUGUAAUUAAAAGAAAACAUAAAAAUGGUUUGUGUACUGUAUUUUUUCUCUUCAUUGUUACUGUUUUACUAUCACAGUUUAUUCUGUUUCCUUAACAUCACUUGGUUUUUCAGAUGCUUUAUACCUAUUUGCUAUGUUUAGUAUUUAGUGCAUUGUCUUAAUUUAAUUUUUAUUCUUUCUAUCGGUUAUUACGUGCGGUAAAUUUGGCUACCAAAAACACUGUAAAACGGGGUUCUUUUUCAGUAAACUCAAGAUUUAUAUGAUUUGAUCUAAUAUCAAUAAUGUAUAAUCAAUGUCUUCAUUUUUUUCUGCGCAAUGAGCAUUCUUCUGAAUGGAUACCUGCGCAUUACAAAUCGACAUCAUCAUCAUCAUUCAUAACGCAAUACCUUGUAGUAUUGUAACGAAAAAAACGUGAAUAUUUUAAAAAAAAAUCUUCCGGCUACGGUAGCAUGACAAUAUCAUUUUGCGAUGAAAUGUUCUUAAUUGUUCGAAAUGUUUUCUGUCAAAGUUGUCAACUUUUAAAACAUCACAUCCUUUCACAAAAAUACACAAACAAAAUUUGAGGAAUGAGAGUUUUAAAAAAUAAAUAGAAUGCGAUUUUUGAUGUCAGCACCUUUCCUACUUCGUUCUAUGACAACAAACAAGAAAAGUGAACUAAAGACUUUAAAAUAUUUAUUCUGGCAAGUUCUCACAUCUCUCUAACACUGCCUUUUUAUGCCCUCCUGUAAAAUGUGUUUCUCUUUUUUGUGUCUAUGUUACUGAAUGGUUUUUUUUUUUUCUCUAUCCCAUUCGUAUUCCUCUCCUUCGCUCUUUCUUUACCUUCAAUUUUUCCUUAAAAAUACUUUUUAAAAAAAAUCCUGGAUGAACAUGUUGUGAUAUAAGAAUUGAUGCCAGUUGCUAUGUCAACCCCUUAUCCUAGUCUUACGCCAUUCGCAAAUUGACGAAUUCCUAUAUCGUCUGUCUUUCGAACAAACGAAGCUGUUUAUCAGUUGAGCAGACGACGUCAAGUCAACAGUCGAGUCAGCAGUUGAAUCCCAACCAUGCAGCUCUCAAAGACUCUCCCGAUUUCGGUCUUCAUGUUAUUAUUAUCAGCUGGAAUGAUACAAGGACAGUGUGAUAAGGCGGAACUUAAAACUUUAAUGGAUUGUGUCUCGUCUAACGGUCGCACGAUAAGUACAGCUUUCCAAAACCAAACUGUCUGCGAUCCAACAAGAAUCACCGCGGAAAUAUGUCGUGCCUACUCCAAGAUUGUGAACUGCACUAACUCUGCCGAUGUCUCCACUAAAACAUGCAGGCCUUUCGCCAUGGGACAGAUUACCUCAGUUAUAGGUACUCCGUGCACUGUGUACGAAUUCAUGACAACGUGUGACACGGCUCCCUUGAUCGACAUAGGAAACAAAGACAGUGGAAUGGAGUCCAUCCAUGCUGUUGGUGUCGUCAAGCUGUGUCACGUGAUUGCGGUUUUUCUUUAUCUCAUGAAGAAAGCCUUUGAAGUUUGAAGAACCUUGUAAAGCCCAUGCUCAACGUCGUUACAGAAACCUUCAGAAGAUGAAUUUUAAGAUAUGUUUAUUCCAAUGGUAAACCGUCUUAGACUUCUUUAUUUAGUGGUUGAGUUCAUUCAGGCUUGGCAGAUCUGCUACCCGAGGGUAAAGGCUAAACUGAGCAGGCCUACCUGUACCCUUUAUUUAGCCAUGAAGCUAUCAUAGUGGCUCCAAAAGAUUUUGUUGUUGCUGUUUUUUUUUACUUCAUUUUAUAGGCAGCAGAAGUAUGAUAAACAUAAGUUUUGAUUUAGUUCAACAAAAGCGAACAUUUCGCAUAGAAGCACAACUUUUUUUUUGAAUCUGAGUCAUACAUUGAAUCGAAACUUUUUUGCUAAUUUCACAGUUUCUUUGUUUCAAAUAAAGAGAAUGCAUAGAAAUUAC
Molecule: unclassified non-coding RNA, 6090 nt
Filed under: Pomacea canaliculata
Lineage: Eukaryota; Metazoa; Mollusca; Gastropoda; Architaenioglossa; Ampullariidae
Description: uncharacterized LOC112568713, transcript variant X1
Source: RNAcentral